Lynx canadensis (Canada lynx) is the source of this 3626-nucleotide long non-coding RNA. RefSeq lists it as uncharacterized. The transcript is spliced from 3 exons. Lineage: Eukaryota; Metazoa; Chordata; Mammalia; Carnivora; Felidae. The record is from RefSeq and is a predicted model, not a curated record.
UUUACCUGCAGGCCACGUAGGAAACAAAACCUCUCCAUUAGCUACAGUUCAUCACAGGCAGGUCAGUCAUCCACAGACACAUCAGUUCCUCAAAAUGCUAUUUUUUUUCCAGUGAAAAGUACACUCGGGUCAGGUUGUGUUCCCACCAGAACCCUACUUUUACUCAUUCUUUCAUCCAAUAAACAUUGAUGUAAUAAGCACUUGUGUUCCUCCAAGCCUUGAGCUGUAUGCUACGGGCAAGGGUUCCACUCAGAGAACUCCUGGACCAGGAAUGUGGAUGCCCGCAAGGUUGGCCCAUUUCUGGCUGAUGAGAGGGAUGUUUUUUGGAGUAACAGUCUGACACACUGGUAUUCUGACUUGCUAACUAGAAAUACCAGAGAGAUACUUUCAGAAAAUUCUGCUUGGUGACCCAGGAUCUCACUAAAACUCUGUCCCUGCCUCUUAAUGAAAGCAUGUCAGAUCCCUGAGCUUUGUGGAGCUGGUGGAAGAUAGUCUCUCCCUGUCACUCUUCUUCCCUACUUCCUUCCAUCUUCCUGUGCUAUUUCAUGAUCAUUCUAGGACUAGAUUUAUGAGCAGACUGGAGCUUUUGCAACACCAGGAUCUUCUUACUCAAAUCACAGACUGGUUUCUAAUGGCUUCCCAGGAGAUCUCCAAUCGGUUGGGGUCCUGUAUAUUGGCUUCCCAAGGUUUUCAAGGAAAGCAACUUCGUUCCAAGAGCUACAGAGGAACCUGGUACCGUUGUUUAGUGGGCUAUGGAGGAUAAAAUGAACGCAGACCUCUGCUUCUUCCUACUGGUAACUCCGAGCCCUCAAGGGUGUCUGACUCAACCUCUUCUCUUUAGGGUCCUUAGAAGAGGAUUUUCAAUCAUAGUUAAAAGACUGAGGAUAGCUUCCCUUGCGGUCUUCCUAAGUGCUCUUCCCUUCAUAAUCCAUAUGGAAGAGGGUGUCCAUACUGUCAUUUGUGCUUCCAAAACCAUGAGUCCAGUACUCGCGUAAAAUCCCCACUUCUGAUCUCAAUACAUUUAAGAUAUAGCCCUCGGCUCUUGCUAUUGUCCUGUAGGUCACUGACAUCUAUUGUCCCAUGGAUUAUGUCCCCACAUUGCAGAUUUUGGCACGUAGCUCAUAGCCUUUCUGUCCACCCUAACUCCUGCUAGCAUUUGACGCAGUUAAAAUCCCUUGGUAGGAGGCCUGUUCAACACCCUAACUUCCCACUUUUCAUCCCUCAGCCUCAAUGAGCAUUGCCUUCACUCUAGUUAAGCAAACCGGCCCCAUGGCCACACCUUGAACUUGCCAUCUCUCAGAAUUACCUGUGAAAUCACAAUAAUGACACUAUCCUCUCAGACUUAACCUUCUGUUUUUCAAGCUAUUGCAUUUCCUCUUAAUACAAUUACUCUGACUUCCUUCUGUUCUUUUAUCUCUCCACUUUCCGUCUAACUACACUUUCCCACUGAGCUUGGACUCUGCAACUGUAUUUACUAGUAUCAGGCUCUGAAACCUUUCUCUUUGACUAUACCCUUCUUUCUUUGUGAUUUCCUCAAUCCUGUGACCUUCUCUAAUUGGCCAUCUCAUUUGCCUCUUAGCCUGGUUCCCACAAAGGACAGUGAUUCCCAAACUUAGUUGUGGAUUAAAAUCUCUUGAGGACCUUUGUAAAUAUGCUGAUUCUCGGGCCCUAUCCUAGAUUCUCCAAGAGUCAAGCUCCCCACUUAACUAAUGCUAUUGAUCCAUAGUUCAGUAUUUGAGAACCAGAAUUUCUAAAGGAUUUACAUAGCUAUUCCUCUAGUAAAGAGUUCCAUGGGCACCUGACUUGGGGAAACACUAGGUUCAGCAGUAUAUUUUUUUAAGUUUUUAUUCCAAUUCCAGCUAUUUAACACACAGUGUUAUAUUAGUUUCAAGCAUACAAUAUAGUGAUUCAACAAUUCCACACAUCACCUGGUGCUUCUCAUGACAAGUGCCGUCCUUAAUCCCCAUCACCUGUUUCACCCAUUCCCCCACCCUCCUCCCUUCUGGUAGGUUAAGCAAUACUGAACCAUUUUUUUCACCAUGGAACUCCUUAGAUGCCAAAAUGCCAGCGUGCAUUAAUUUCCCAAGAAGAGGAUAUGCAUUUAUUUGACCAUCUAACUUCGUGUUUUGCCAGGUAGUCUAGAGCUCUAGUUUUCUGGAACACACUCUAGGAUAUGGCCCAUACUCAUCAGCUCCUCAUUACCCUCCGUUUGCUCUUCACCGAUUACGAUUAGGCAUGUGCCCCCACUGUUCUGUCUAAAUUCCUCGGGGAAUGGUAACCUGUCGUCACUCUUCAAUCUUGUUACUAGAUAACUUUCUGUUUUCUUAAAGCUCCUCCCUGGGUUUCCACGAGCCCAGACUCUCCUGGUUCUCCUCCUCUGAACUCAGUAGCCUCUGUUGGCUUCUCUUCCUGUGUCACCCUCCCCUAAAUGUGUGUGUUCCUGUUUGACCUGCUUCAGAAGUAGCAGGAGGGAGUGUGGAACAAUUGGACCACGAGGGCUUCAGGGGAGGGCUGUAUUGUGGAGGCCUCAUGGAUAGGGGAGGGCUACAGAUUUGGGGUUUGAAGGACCCUGGAAACAUGCCUUUUUCUACAGUCGUGUUCUGCUGUUCGUGCAUCUGCUGUCAGAUCAGAAGGCCAAGUGGUGUAAGAACUCCAAAGUUACAAAUCGCACGACUUAUCAAUGUACUAAAAAAUAAAGCAGCAUGGGAAUAAAGAAACAGCAUAAGAAGAGAGAGCAAAGGGAGGUAUACUCACCUCAAGAAAGGCCUUAUGGAAUGCAUCUGAGACGUAGAGGUCACUCCGGCCUUCUGCAACAAUACCUAGAAGGAAGACCAGAGAAUGUUCUACGAAAAGGAGGAAGAAUGGUGGAUUGGAGGAACCAAAACAACAGAACACUGUUACUGAAGUCUCACAGCUAGAGAAGUCUGGCCACAUCUGUUGUCCAAGUGACCUCAAGGAAAACCCAUGAGCCCUUUGGAAUAUCAGUUCUUUCACCUUGGCCCAGACUGCCUUGGGGGAGGGGAGCAGAGGGAAGAGGAACGUCCUUCCUAGGCUCACCUGGGAGCUUGGACUUCUCAGGGUUGAACAGGUCCACGAGGCCCAUGUCUUGCAGCUGCUCCUUCACGCUGAAGCUGUCCUCGAUGCGGAAGCGGGGCAUGUGGACCACCAGCAGGGUCUCCGCUGUCUCAUCCAGCCAUUCCUGCAGCACCUCCGGGGUGAGCUCCUGCUCCACCUUGGCCAGGCUCUUCUCCGGCUUGGGCAGGAUGAGCACCAUGGUGAUGUCAUCGCCCUUGAAGGGCAGCUCGAGCACCUGGGUGCCUUCUGCCACUCGCCGGUAGUGGAACUUGCCUUCCUGGUACAUCAUGGACGCCGAACACGACUCCCCAUCAGCCUUGUAGAACAGUUCCUUCCUUGUGUUCUCGGGGCUGAACUUCGACUUCCACAGGCCCUGGGAGGAGACACCAGGCGGGAGAGAGUCACAAAGCAGGAAGACCAAAGACAUCCGUAGGAGAAUAUUGACAUGGGAAAUUGUCACAUUAUUUUCUCCGGCAAAUAUGUUAGCAGAAUUAUUAGGAGAAAAGAUUAGAGGGAUAUGCAUGAAAAGGAUAACAAUGACUAUGUCGGAA